GUUUAAUUAUGAAUUGUUUUCUUCUGUACUUUUUGUUUGAGUUGGAUUUGUGAUAAAAUUGCGUCUUUUGUUUGAGUUUGAAUUCAACUUUAAACAGGCUCAAUGAAGGAGCAAGUAAGUACUUGAAUGAGAAAAAAUGAUCUGAAUUUGGUUAUCCAGUUAAUAUAGCUUAGUGGAAUUCAUUCAUCAGCAUUAAUUAAGCAAACAGUGCUUAAUGUUGAAUUUUUGAAAACCCUGAAAUUGCCUCUCCUAAUAUAUAUGCCUACACCAGCAGGAUUUAAUACAUCAAGGGCAGUAGAGUAACUAAGGUAAUAGAAAUCCUAGAAUGACAACAACACAGUACAGGUUUUGCCACGUUCAGCCAAAACCAAGAUUGCAGUUAUAACUUUCCCGCUCUCACCAAAACCGCUUAUUCCUAAGCAAAAGACAGGUUUUUCUUUGCCACGAGUUGCAAUAAGGUUUUGCUAUGACAUGUAUACAAUCAGGUACAUAUGUUCUUCUAAUUUAUCACUUUUGCUUGAUUUUCAUUGAACGAUUGAUUGUUCUUCUCCUUGGCUCAGUUCGUUGAGACAAUGAUUCUUGCUAAAUAAUAAGGGAAAGGGAUAGAAAGGCUAGCGCAAGCAUUGAAAGUCUCAAAUUUCUUUAGCUGUGAUCAGCAGAUCAUUAUCAUAUUUCAUCCAUUCCUCAAUUUUGCAUAUGUCAGUAUACAUUAUUUUUCCUUAUUUGUGUUUGAAGACAACAUUGUGAUUCAUCUGUAUGCCUAAUCAUCACCUUAUUAAUUGCUGAUCUCUUCUUAUUUUUGCCUCUAGAUUUUUUUCUUCUUUUGUUCAAAGCUGAAGGUUUUUGAGAAUUCUAAAUUCAUGACUUGAUGAGCACUUGGUGGUUCUUCUUCUUCCAAGGCUUUUUCUGAACCCAAGUGUUCUUGAGAAAAACAAGAAGGGGCAAGAGACCUAGAAAGGGAGGCAACCGAUUCUGGAAGAGUAUUGGGCUGUGCACCAAGAACCACAGGGAUGCCAUUCAAGGAUACUAAGGAAGGGUACGUAUGCUUUUACAAGGAAGGCUUCAAUUCAGUUUAUGCUUUCAAUCUGAGACGUGUUACUCUAUGACGUUGUCUUGGUUGCCAUCAGUCGAAUACAGUUAAUCGAAGACAAAGUUCGGUUAUGUCAAGCUCUCAUCCAAACUUUCCACAUUUCACUUGGAAUCUUGCAGCUUAGGCAUACAACGAAAUUAGUAGUACUUGAAUUAUUGAUGAUCACGUACUAUUUUUUAUUCUAAUUAGCAGUCUUGAUGGGAAAAUCUGUAGUUCACUUUUUCAACUACAAACUGAAAGAAGCUUCUUGCAAUAAUGACAUCUGGUUU
This 1359-nucleotide long non-coding RNA is filed under the name Rosa chinensis. RNAcentral's name for it is "sRNA RchiOBHm_Chr7g0193271". Lineage: Eukaryota; Viridiplantae; Streptophyta; Magnoliopsida; Rosales; Rosaceae. The record is from RNAcentral.